GCGCUGACGAGUGGCGGACGGGUGCGUAACGCGUAGGAAUCUGCCUAUUAGUGGGGGACAACAUGGUGAAAACCAUGCUAAUACCGCAUACGCCCUACGGGGGAAAGCAGGGGAUCUUCGGACCUUGCGCUAUUGGAUGAGCCCGCGUUAGAUUAGCUAGUUGGUGGGGUAAGGGCCUACCAAGGCAACGAUCUAUAGCUGGUCUGAGAGGACGAUCAGCCACACUGGGACUGAGACACGGCCCAGACUCC
Molecule: ribosomal RNA, 251 nt
Filed under: uncultured bacterium
Lineage: Bacteria
Description: partial 16S ribosomal RNA
Rfam family: Bacterial small subunit ribosomal RNA
Source: RNAcentral